Long non-coding RNA from Myiozetetes cayanensis, 7367 nucleotides. RefSeq lists it as uncharacterized. The record is from RefSeq and is a predicted model, not a curated record. NCBI's taxonomy places the organism in Eukaryota, Metazoa, Chordata, Aves, Passeriformes, Tyrannidae. The transcript has 3 exons.
CCUGGAGGCCGACAUAGAGAAAGAGUUCCAGCUGCGAUGAGAGUGCUGCAGAGUUAUUAAAGAGACCUAGAGCUCCAAGAAUGAAGAAAGAAACUACUUCUCCUCCUUGGACUGAUAGAAAGGGGGGAGAAGUAUUUCUGUAAAUACAUAGUACUUUUACUUGAGUAAAAUUAUUAUAGAUGUAGUUCUUUAGUUUUAGUUUGCUAGCAAUAAAUGUUCAUAUUAUUUUCCCCAAUCAGGUCUCUUUUGUCUGCGUAAACCUUCUCUCAACUUAUAGUAAUUGUGUGGAGGGUGAAAGCAAAUUGAUCCAGAGCAAAACCACGACACUCUAUUACUUAAAAUAACAUGAGGUCAAAUAGUAUUAAAAUAUAUUUUCCUGAAUCAACAGCAUUAAUUGUACAUCUAUAUAAAAUACAAAAAUAAGUAUAUGGACUAUGGAUGAAGCUUCCUCACUUAAAAUUUCCACUCUAAAAAGAUAGACAAAACUGUCUGAAAAACGUGAGUGACAUGAUGAAAAAAGUCACAGCACGUUUUUGGGUAGCAGCUAAACUUUUAUUUUAAAAACACUGAGACCAGGACAGCACCUUUUCUUUCUUUAUGGAGGAUCUAAUUCUAGUUUUUCAACAACCCUGAUGACUAAACUGUUUCAAAAUUGAGAUCAGUCAUGUUUCUUGCAUGGCCCCUGAACAGGUACUCUUUCCCAAUACAGCUGUGGACUUAGUGCACUUGACAGAAGAUGAAGAGUGCAAUCCUGGUUAUUUUUUCUUUUUCUUUUUUUUUUUUUUAAUUAGUCAUCAUGUCAACCCAAUGUUUGGGGUUUUUUCUGAAGUCUUCAUUAAGUAAUCAGGUAUUUCCUGGUCUGGGUCAGCCUGAGGUAGGAAGAAUUUCAGUAUGUUUUCAUUUGUGGGAGUUUUUCCUUACAGAGAAAUGUGGAUAUAUUUUUUAACACGGAGUUGGCAUCAGGCUUGGGGCAGAUUAAUCACCAGGAAAGAGGGAAUGGGUGGACGACUAAAUGGUCUUUCUCUCUCCCUCUGUUCCCUUUCCCCUGCCCCUGUAUUCCUGCCCUGUUUGGUGCUGGCCCAGUGCAGGGGUUCAAGACCUUUCAUUAAUAUUAGGGCUGCAUCCAGCCCUAGUAGCUGAGACCUUUCCUCUUUAAAAAACAGCAGCAAAGCAAGGAGAUUUUUCAGUUCUUUCUUUCCUUGCCACCAGGGCCCUCUGGUGCAGGCAUGUGUAGAGUGAGACAAACUGAACAUUGGGCUGUAGAUACAGAAACUUCUGAGAUAUAACAGUUCUGUGCUUUUAUACUUAUCAAAGCAGUGGCUGUGGAGGACUUCUGAAUGAGAAGGACAAUAAAAAAAUAAGGAAUCAAAGUCCAUCUGCAUCAAAGGGAUACCUUCACAUUCAGACCUCGACACACAGUUACUACAACUUCCCCAGAUACCGGAGAAGUAGGUCUUACUUCUCAUUCACUACCCUGCCAGUGAGACCAUUUGGGUUUUUUUCCUCCUCCUCCAAAACAUGAAGUUCUCUCGCAGCUUCUGAGCCCCUGUGAGGUGAUGUCCACAGAUGCCACUUCCUCCUUGAGAGGAGGAACUUGCUAUCACACCUGCCUCUGCACAAAAGCAGGUAUCUGCCCUCAGGUCCACAGGUGCCUAGCUGCUGGGUGGCUUUCAGCAACCGAAGCAUGCCACCAUCCUUCCUCCCCUCUCCAGCAUACACACAUGCUAACCCAUUCCCUAACACCAUUACCCUCCAGGAAAUACUAGGGCACACUUCUUGUGGCCAGAUCCACACCCCAGCCCUGCUGCAGGCACAUACACGUGUUAUUUUUACAUAGGUGCAAUCUCACACUGCUUGUGCUGUACUGGACCAGUGGCUGCACAAGAGCUGGUGAGCACCAAGGAGGAGAGGGCACGGUGCACACAGCUUUGGCACAACACCAUGCACUGCAGCUGGGCAGCUCCUGCUUACCAGCACCAGCAGGAGACUGAACUCUGAAAAAGAGGAAGGCUGGUAUCCAAACAGAAAUCUAAUAGAGAAGCCCUCUAUCAGAGCUGACAAACGUCUGCUAGAUGUGUUCAUUGAUCAUUAUUUAUAAUUCCUACCCUUCUGGUAGAGUUCAGUGCAGGCACAGAUCUCCUCCCAGACAUGAUCAUAGCUCUGCUGUCCAGAGGCGUGAAAAGAAGCAGUGGAACUUGACCUCACAGGAUGUGUUUCAAACACCUCGUGUUCCAGGAGAUCCUCCAUCCCUCUCUCUCCUGUCUGAGACCUUGUGUCAAAUCAUAUUAAAUGCAGACAAAAGAUUCACAAGGCCAAUGAGGCAGCAGCAAGCCAGACCCCAUCCUGCAGUGAGUCAAGGUCAAUUCAGAGCAUCUAGCCUCUGCCGCACCGCUCCUUACUGCUUCUCCUGGAUUUGGGACAGUUCUCUGCUGCCCUCUCUCCAAGGUGAAAAUAUAGAAAUGGACUUGCCUGUUAUAACAUAAGGAGGAAAUACAGCAGAUAAGAAAGAGUAUGAAACUGGUUUUUUUCCCUGAGAUUUACAGAGAGGAAGGACUACCUCUCUCCUUUCCUGUCACCCCUUACCCUUAAUGAGUGGUGAUCAAAAUCAAACAUAUUGUAUUUGGUGAGAAAGUGGAAAAAACCAAGGAGAAUGAUCUUUUUUUUUUUCCAUUGUAUCAGUGAGCUGCAAAGCCAUUUUUACUUCUGCUAGUAGUGAUAAUGGCUUGCUCCCAAGCAUUCCAGAAAAAUUACCUGCUAUGGCAAGCUUUGAAAGAAUGGUUUCUUUGUGAAGUAUCUGGCAUGGGGAAAAGGUCUGAAAACAGGGAUCAUAAAAGAAAACUUAUUUCACUGGUACAUACAUUUUAAAGAAAAAGACCAUAAUUGUCUAAUAUUUCUAAGAGUAUCAUCAAAAUCAAAUCCAUUAAAUUAUUUAAAAUAUUGUAAAGCCAACCUCAGCUGUAAAGCCUACACAUCCUCUUUCUGACUUUUGCAAUGUGAGGUGAGUUCUCGCUCAAAUGUUUUCUGAGACCCACAAAAGUAAUGAUGAAUGUUAAAUAGGAACUAGGGAGAUUAAAUGUAUACAGAGUACUGACAAAUCCCAGGUUAAAUAAAAUUAGUAGCUGUAGUUAUAGUAGUACAAAAGUAAUUUUUAAAACACACAUGUAAUCUUGCAGGAGUUUUUUUUAAUUGCCACUUCUAUCAGAAGUAUAAUUUAAAAAGCAUAGUCAUGUUUUAGCAAUUAUUAGCGUCAGCAAAAUUUUGUUGACAGGAAUUCCAGCAAAGCCUUGAUAGGAAUUAUAAGGGUGUUAAGAAUAGGAGUUUUAUAGGACUCUUUAUCACCUGUUUCAAUGAUAACCUCCUUGCUUCACGCAUUAGUUUAUGUCAUCUUACAGAGGCAGAGCACUGUUGUUACACCAUUUUUACAGAUGAGGGUACCAGACCUGCUCAAAUUUCACCGGAAAAAGGUGGCAAGACCCCAGCACACCUGACAGUCUGUCACACCUGCAGCUCCUUCAUGCACCUGCAGUAGGAGUGAAUGAGGAGAGCUUCCUUGGCAGAUGCAGGCCAGCCCUGUAGGGUACAUUCAGUGAAUAAGAUGCAAUUAGGACAAAGGAAUGUGAGGUGUAAGAGGUGCCUCAAGCCUGCUGUGGAUGCAAAAACAGACCUGAUCUGUGAGUAUACAUUGCCAUUUUUCCAAGGAGGCUGGGUGGCAAGCAACCUAGACAGAGCUGUCCUGCAGCACAUCCUCAAAAUAUGAAAAAAUGGCAUUAUAUCACCAUAAUCAAGAGAACCUGAGAAGCUAGAACCAAAAUAGAGACACUCAGUAACCGCUCCCUGGGGCACAUUGUGCCCUACCAACUUGUACCUUGCUACUGGAGUACCUCUCUUUAUCUUUGAAGCACAGGUCUGAACCCUGAUCACAUUAAAAGAAGAGCAGUUCUGAACAAUCCCUUUGAAACAAAUUCCAGGGCUGAUUUUGACCUGGUGAAGUUCAGAGAUUUUGACUUAGGUGACCUUCAGAGCUUUCAAAUAUGUAUGGAAGUGUUCAAGCUGCCUUUUGAAACUGCUGAACUGAGAAAGACAGGGGAAAAUAUCUCUGUGGCACCUUAGUAAUGGGUCUUUAAUGAAUUCAGGCAUAAAUACAUGAUACACAAAUCUGAGGCAACUUUUCUCUAGAGAUUUCAAUUUCCCUGGAAGAGUCCAAUAAAUAAAUUAAAAUAACUUUAAAUUAAAUCACUUUAAGUCACAUUAACUCUAGAGAUUUUGAAUGAAGGUCCAUCAGCUUAGCUCCUUUCUUCUGUUGUUUCAAUUUCAUCCAAAGCUUUUGUUUCCAGGGAUCUACUUUAGGCUUAACGUGGUUUUCAUAAAAGUAAUAAAAAAACUUAUGAAUACUGCUGCAUGUUUUUGGUAUAGGAGGCAAUAUUUAGUAAAGAAAAUGCAACACAUUCAUUUUGUAUUUUCAACAUAUAUGAAUAGAGGCUCUUGACUAUACAGAAAUAUUGUAGUUUGAUAAGACCUGAAUUAUUAAAACAUAUUCACUCCGAUUUUCAAAAGGAAUAUUUUAGACUUUAGUCACUGAAAUGUAUCUUGGUACAUCCUGAAGACUGGUUAGGACUAACACUAACCGAAAGAAAGAAGUUCCUCAUAACUACCUUUAAAUAAGGGAUCCAGUUGUCUCUCUUUUUCAAAGCCUUGGCUGGAUCUAGCAUGCCCCAGUUCUCUGACUGAGAAACCUCUGCAUCAUAAAGUGGAAAAAUUCUCAUUGUCUGCUGUUUUGAGAAGAUGUUGAUAAAUUUUUGGAGAACCUAAAACACAAAAGGAGAUGCUACUGUUAUAAAUUUCCUACGAUGGAUAUGAAAACCCAGAGUAAAGUAAUACUGCAUAUUAUCUACAAAAUACUAAAAAAAAUGGAGUGGUAAAGGAACAAAAGAGACAUUCUGGUCCUGUGUUGUCCUUCUUUUCCAGCAGACACAGUGAAAGUCCCUGCUGUUAAUUCUGAUGACUCCAAAAAGAAGACCAGUAUUUUCUAAACCACUGUCCUUCAACCAAAGUCAAUAGUAAAUUUCUUAUCACAGGCUUUGUCAAGAAUAGCAUUAGCCUAGAAGGCGUACUUUGAAAAUCCUGUUCAAAAAUUAAGAAGCCACCGCCAGCCUACAGUACAGGUAAUGUACAUCACUGCCUCCUUGUGUAAACAAGUGUGUCUGUGCUUAUCUCUGACAGCUCAGGGAGUUCAGCUGAACUACUCAAAUGUUAAUUUGAGGAAAGGUUUACAGACCAGUUUAUGCAACCAAACUUUCCUCCUUUUCGGCUGCACUCAUACAAGGUGCAGUUUGUAAGGCAAACCAAGCAUUUAAAAGCAGGAUGUUAUUUCUGUUUAAGAGUUACGCAUCUGUUUUAGACCCUGGAAACACACUGGAGAUUUUCAGUUGGUUUUGUGUGUUAGAUGACAGAAAAAAAACAAAACUGAGAGUUUUCCUGCUGGUGUCCCCUGAGCUGUGGAAGCUGGCAAGGUCCUGGGCAAUGGUGUGUUGCAGCCGACCUCUAGUGGAAGUACCACAGCUCAGGGAGUCACCAAACAAGGGCAGGAAAACCAGAGAAAAUGCACAAAAACCACAGAAACAUGAGUGAGAGCUAAGAGAACAAAGGUACGGCCUCAGAGCCAUGAUACUGAAAAUGUGAAUGUCAGCCACUACUAGAGGUUAGUGGGAGUGAGCUGAACUUUUUACUUCUGCUUUCUGUCAAGAGCAAAAAUGCCACAAUCUCAUUUUCGUGAUACAAAACACUAACUUGUAAUAAAUGGAAAUUUCUUCUAUGCUUAUAAAGAUUUUUUGUUGUUGGUUUGGUUUUUUUUAGCACCGAGAGGUGCAUUUCACUUACCAGGGAAAAGAGGUCCAUCUCAUCAGCUGAGUUAUUGAGAUUCUUAAGGUUAUGGUCAAUACCAAAGUGAGAAAGCAGAAGCUGGAGCUGAGGUUUCAGCUCCUGGGUUUUAGUGCUGUGACAGGGCAAAGUGUGUCCUUGGGGCAGGACUCUGCAAAAAGCCAUAAUCAGACCAUCUGGAGAACAUCAACACUUCAAGCAACGUGAGCAUAAUAUGUCUAAGUAAGCAGUGCCAUCAGUGUCCUUUGCUUUGUAUCCACACAAUGAUGUAAUUUCCUUUUAUUUAAUCCUGAAGCUGAAGUAUGUCAGAGAAUGGAAUGUGAUGGUGGGGGAAACCCACAUUGUGUGGAUUUUUAUUAUUUUCAUAUCUCUUUUAAGAAAGGGCCUUCUGCCAGACCCCAGAAGACGAGCAGCUAUUAGCGGUUUGAGGCACCUCCAUAGUUCUUGGAGGAGUGCCUAUCUUCUAGCAUGGAAAGGACGCCAGCUAACAAAUCCUUCUGCCUGAACAGAGUGCUGGCUCAGGAGCAUACAACAUUCUUCUCACACACACCUCCCAGAUCUUCACAUGCCAUAAGAACUUUAAGUAUGUUACUAUUUCAGAGUUAUCACUCUCUGGUAUCUGAUUCUGGCAUGAUGCUGCUAUUGCAAACUUCUGAAACAAGGGUGUGCUUGGGAUGGCUGAGUUUGGCCUGGUAUCAGUGUUGGAGAGUCUAUUGGCAACACAGCACACAUUUUUAGAAGAACUGAAAUGUUUUCUCCUUCUUCACAUAGUCUCAGGCUUGCUCUUGGCUUUGAAGGAUACCAGUAUUCCUUCAUCACCGAAGACCAAAAACUACUGUGUUCCUGUCAAACCAUAACAAACAGCAGCACUUUUUCUGCUACUUCUUAUCCAAAGACUUUUGAAAGCCUAAAGUAUCAACUGAUUCUCCUUUACCCUGUAUUGGCGAGUACUGCUGAUACAUGCAAAGAUCCUAACAGCAAAUUCUUGGUACGUGUAUGCAUUCCCUGGAGUAUCCUGUUGUCCUCUAUUUCUGCCUUCAGCUCUGUCAGCUGUGCUGGUAGUUCUUGUUCCAGCUGCCGGGCCUUCUCAGUAGAAGCCAUUUUGCCUACUUGAGUUUGACAGACUAAAAGACAAAGCAGUCAAGAUGCAGCUCCUUUCUAAAGAGCAAAUCACUUGUGAACUCUGGACCUGGAGAUCUGUGCACGCAAAAAGUACAAAUUUCCACUGCUAUAUAGGCAAUAUCAACUUCAUUAAAUAAUUGUUUAUGCUCAGCAUCUCCUUUAACAAGAAGACUUUUAAUAUCAGGAACAGAACUGGGUAAAUGUGAUUUUUCCCAGUUUGAUCAGCAGCCUGAGGAAAACAGCAGAAAAACUGGGUCUCCUGCAUUGCACUACCAAAUGCCGUCUCCUCCCUCCUUCACUUAGUUUCUUAAUGACACCUGAGAAAGUUUAGGUAAUUAAACAUUAAAUUUGAUGUGUUGAAUAAAACA